RNAcentral lists this unclassified non-coding RNA (209 nucleotides) under soil metagenome. RNAcentral's name for it is "partial contains small subunit ribosomal RNA, internal transcribed spacer 1, and 5.8S ribosomal RNA". The record is from RNAcentral.
UCUCCGUAGGUGAACCUGCGGAGGGAUCAUUACAAGUGACCCCGGUCUAACCACCGGGAUGUUCAUAACCCUUUGUUGUCCGACUCUGUUGCCUCCGGGGCGACCCUGCCUUCGGGCGGGGGCUCCGGGUGGACACUUCAAACUCUUGCGUAACUUUGCAGUCUUAUUAUAACAUAAUAAAACUUUCAACAACGGAUCUCUUGGCUCUC